AUGAAGACAUUAUUGGUGAAAAAACAAAAAACAAAUAGUGGACAAGAAAUAAUAGUCACCACAAUCAUCUUUUUCAACCUAACACAAUUCAGAAUAAUACAUAAGCAAUUUUUACAUUUUUAAUCUUACAAUCAUCUUUUAUUCUACCAUACUGUCAAAUACUUGUGAAAAUAAAUAAAAAUAAAAUACAUGAUGCAUAGGAAGAUUUUUUUUAAAACUGAACUAUUGCACAAAUCAAUGUGAGAAUAUGCAAGUAAUAUAAAAAUGCAUUUAAAUAUAUUGUCACAACAUAUUUCGUAAGUCAUAAAUCUAUUUCACCUACUGUUUAUAAUCUCUGGGCUCUGGAACUAGAUGAUUUCUUACCAACUCAUCUCCAUGUGGUACAUUAUAACAUUAAUUUACUACUGUAAAAUUCAGUGAGAAACAAAUGUGUGCCAAUUAUUUAUCUAUCCUUUCCUUGAGCAGACAAAAAGAAUUAUGUGGUCUUAAAAAAAUACUUGACAAAAAAACAGUGCUCAGUAUUAGAUAAAACAAGUUUAAAGUUCUUUAUAUGAUUUAUAACAGAAGUGAUUUAAAUGGAAAUCUAAUAUAUGCAUUCAUCUUCUAAAUUCAUUACAGCUUAUUUUAGUUGAUGGACUAUUUGUUUCUUUGUUUUGACCAAUAAGACUGAAUAAAGAUAACUGAGGGGAAAAAAAUUAACAACUAAUCAGGAAAUAAACUUUUUUCGGAUUUAUGAAAUAAUUUGUUGACAUGCUCUACAGGAGUGACCUUAACAUACCUAAUGGUAACUAAAACUGUUCUCUUUAAUUACAAAAUUCCCAGCAUCUAUCCUACUAUGAUACUAUCUGAAGAUAGGCACCAAUAAUACAAAUGUUUAUCCAAAUUUUUUGCUCAAAGUUAUACUUAUCCUAAAGCUUGAAGGGCUAAGCACUAGAGUAUGAGAGUUUGUGGAAAUGUACUUAACGUGCUUUAACAACAACAGAAAAGUAACACCUAAAUUAAUUGUUCCAUUUGAAAUUAUUUUCUGACAGAUAAGUGAAUAUUUCCUUGAAUGACACAGUCUGGGGUAUCAGAUAUUUAUUAUAUACAGUAUAUGUACACAUAUAAACAUACACACAUUAUAUAGCCAAAAGAUUACACUUCAAAAUUAACUGGAAAUGGUAUUUCGAGUAUUUUUAGCACAAACUAACUAGAGGAUGUGCUCUAGCUGUC
RNAcentral lists this long non-coding RNA (1212 nucleotides) under Homo sapiens (human). Its description in RNAcentral is "PREDICTED lncRNA (TCONS_00255964)". The record is from RNAcentral. Lineage: Eukaryota; Metazoa; Chordata; Mammalia; Primates; Hominidae.